GCUCAAAUAGUUUUAAAUUUAAAACAUUAGUCUUGUAAACUAAAAAUAAGAAAAUCUCUUUUUGAACG
This 68-nucleotide transfer RNA is filed under the name Xenoturbella japonica. RNAcentral's name for it is "tRNA-Thr". It matches the Rfam family "tRNA". From Rfam's summary of the family: Transfer RNA (tRNA) molecules are approximately 80 nucleotides in length. Their secondary structure includes four short double-helical elements and three loops (D, anti-codon, and T loops). The record is from RNAcentral. Lineage: Eukaryota; Metazoa; Xenacoelomorpha; Xenoturbellidae.